Molecule: ribosomal RNA, 1251 nt
Filed under: metagenome
Description: bacterial LSU rRNA
Rfam family: Bacterial large subunit ribosomal RNA
Source: RNAcentral
UAUACGACCGUACCGCAAACCGACACUGGUGCGCGAGAUGAGUAUUCUAAGGCGCUUGAGAGAACUCAGGAGAAGGAACUCGGCAAAUUGACACCGUAACUUCGGAAGAAGGUGUGCCCUAUUAGUGUGUAGUGAACAACGAAGCAUGAAUGGGUUGCAAAAAAUCGGUGGCUGCGACUGUUUAUUAAAAACACAGCACUCUGCAAACACGAAAGUGGACGUAUAGGGUGUGACGCCUGCCCGGUGCUGGAAGAUUAAAUGAUGGGGUGCAAGCUCUUGAUUGAAGUCCCAGUAAACGGCGGCCGUAACAAUAACGGUCCUAAGGUAGCGAAAUUCCUUGUCGGGUAAGUUCCGACCUGCACGAAUGGCGUAACGAUGGCCACACUGUCUCCUCCUGAGACUCAGCGAAGUUGAAAUGUUUGUGAUGAUGCAAUCUCCCCGCGGAAAGACGGAAAGACCCCAUGAACCUUUACUGUAGCUUUGUAUUGGACUUUGAACAGAUCUGUGUAGGAUAGGUGGGAGGCUUUGAAGCAGGGUCGCUAGAUCUUGUGGAGCCAACGUUGAAAUACCACCCUGGUGUGUUUGAGGUUCUAACCUAGGUCCAUUAUCUGGAUCGGGGACAGUGCAUGGUAGGCAGUUUGACUGGGGCGGUCUCCUCCCAAAGCGUAACGGAGGAGUUCGAAGGUACGCUAGUUACGGUCGGACAUCGUGACGAUAGUGCAAUGGCAUAAGCGUGCUUAACUGCGAGACUGACAAGUCGAGCAGAUGCGAAAGCAGGACAUAGUGGUCCGGUGGUUCUGUAUGGAAGGGCCAUCGCUCAACGGAUAAAAGGUACUCUGGGGAUAACAGGCUGAUACCGCCCAAGAGUUCAUAUCGACGGCGGUGUUUGGCACCUCGAUGUCGGCUCAUCUCAUCCUGGGGCUGUAGCCGGUCCCAAGGGUAUGGCUGUUCGCCAUUUAAAGAGGUACGUGAGCUGGGUUUAAAACGUCGUGAGACAGUUUGGUCCCUAUCUUCCGUGGGCGCUGCAGAUUUGAGGAAGCCUGCUCCUAGUACGAGAGGACCGGAGUGGACACACCUCUGGUGUAUCGGUUGUCACGCCAGUGGCAUUGCCGAGUAGCUAAGUGUGGAAGAGAUAACCGCUGAAAGCAUCUAAGCGGGAAACUCGUUUCAAGAUGAGAUCUGCCGGGGCCUUGAGCCCCCUAAAGAGUCGUUCAAGACCAGGACGUUGAUAGGUCAGGUGUGGAAGCGAAA